CAGUGAGUGAUGUGUUAUUUUAUAAAAGAAGAAUAAUGAUCGAUAUCCUUUACAUAUAAAAAUAUAUUUAAGAAACUAUGUAUAUAUAAAAUUAAUAAAUUUGCAGUGUUGAUAUACGUUAUGAUGAUAACAUUUAUCAUAAUACCUUCAUUAGGACCGAUGCUUCUCGAUAUCGUGCUACCUCUUAAUGGAUCGCGUUCGCGACACUUUGCAGUGUACGCCGAAUAUGGGAUAGAUCAAAAUAAGUAUUUUGUAGAAAUAUUUUUGUACACUACUAUCAUGAUCACGGUGGGUAUAACCAUCAUGGUGUCUGUUGAUACUAUGCAUAUUGCGUGCACCGCGCACGCAUGUAGCUUAUUCCAAGUUGUCGGGUAUGUCGAUAUAUUAAACGACACGCAUAAGAUUGUGGGGAUUAGCUUUUCAUUAUUGCUUGGCGCGCUUGUCAGUUUGAUUGGAGUUCGCAUUGUCUAUGUAUUAGACCAAAUGGAAGAAAUGAUUAGAUAUACGUUUAUAAUCAUGGGAGCGUUAUUACAAUUGAUGAUCGCGUGUUAUUCCGGCCAGAAAUUAAUGGACGAAAGUCAGAAUAUAUUCCACCGAGCGUAUACAGCGGAAUGGUAUAAAUUCUCGCCAAGAUUAAAAUCAUUGUUAAUUAUAACUCUUUAUAGAAGUGUUAUUCCGUGCAAAUUGACAGCAGGUAAUUUGUUUCCGUUGUCGAUGUCAUUCUUCGCCGCGGUAAGUAUGAUAAAGAAUCUGCAAAAAUUAUUUUACGAUAUAUACGAGAAAUUACUUGUGCGUUUCUGUUCGAUUUAAGGUGGUGCGAGCGAGUGUAUCUUAUUUCACGACAUUCUUAUCGUUGAAAGAUUAAUUAAUUCUGAAAUGGUAUGACUUUUUGUCACUGAUAUGUCUUCAACUCGAGCGUCAACGAACUAAAGCAAUAAGAUUAAUUCUAUAACGACGAUAAUGGCAAUAAUUUCACUCAUCGGCAGACUUCGUUAAUUUGUUGACGCAAUUAUACGAUUUUGAUUGCGUCAUGUACCUGCAAUAGAAAAAAAUCAUUGUUAGAUGUCACAUAAUUAUAAUUAUUA
Formica exsecta is the source of this 1085-nucleotide RNA transcript. It is a transcript of the gene named odorant receptor 67a-like, with no coding region annotated. The record is from RefSeq and is a predicted model, not a curated record. The transcript has 5 exons. Lineage: Eukaryota; Metazoa; Arthropoda; Insecta; Hymenoptera; Formicidae.